UUGAACCUUGAUUUUGUGCGUACGCCAACCGGAUUUUUGAUGCCUCUUUUCCCCUCCUUUUUAAUGUGUAAGAAAGAAGAAUAAACUCUCGAUUUAUCAUGUAAAAUUGGGCACAAAUCAGAUUGGGGUGGGUGUCUUAAAAUUCCAAGAGUCCAUGGAUGUUUGGACUCUAUCUCCUACUCAAUUUAGAACUCAUCUUUUGGUCUAUUUAAACCCACCCUUGGGACA
Molecule: long non-coding RNA, 228 nt
Filed under: Elaeis guineensis (African oil palm)
Lineage: Eukaryota; Viridiplantae; Streptophyta; Magnoliopsida; Arecales; Arecaceae
Description: long non-coding RNA (EGUI_LNC040438)
Source: RNAcentral